CCUACGGGAGGCAGCAGUGAGGAAUAUUGGUCAAUGGACGGAAGUCUGAACCAGCCAUGCCGCGUGCAGGAUGACUGCCCUAUGAGUUGUAAACUUCUUUUGUAUUGGGGUAAACACCCCUACGUGUAGGGGUUUGAAAGUAUAAUACGAAUAAGGAUCGGCUAACUCCGUGCCAGCAGCCGCGGUAAUACGGAGGAUCCAAGCGUUAUCCGGAUUUAUUGGGUUUAAAGGGAGCGUAGGCGGUUUGAUAAGUGAGAGGUGAAAUACCGGUGCUCAACACUGGAACUGCCUCUAAUACUGUUGAACUAGAGAGUAGUGGCGGUAGGCGGAAUGCAUGGUGUAGCGGUGAAAUGCUUAGAGAUCACAAAGAACACCGAUUGCGAAGGCAGCUUACCAAACUAUAACUGACGUUGAGGCACGAAAGCGUGGGUAGCAAACAGGAUUAGAUACCCUUGUAGUC
RNAcentral lists this ribosomal RNA (460 nucleotides) under uncultured bacterium. Its description in RNAcentral is "partial 16S ribosomal RNA". It matches the Rfam family "Bacterial small subunit ribosomal RNA", at positions 338 to 795 of the family's 1533-position model. The record is from RNAcentral.